This 640-nucleotide ribosomal RNA is filed under the name uncultured bacterium. Its description in RNAcentral is "bacterial SSU rRNA". It matches the Rfam family "Bacterial small subunit ribosomal RNA", at positions 204 to 842 of the family's 1533-position model. The record is from RNAcentral.
AAGGUUAUUUCCGGUGGCGGAUGGGCAUGCGUCGCAUUAGUUAGUUGGCGGUGUAACGGACCACCAAGACGACGAUGCGUAGGGGUUCUGAGAGGAAGGUCCCCCACACUGGUACUGAGACACGGACCAGACUCCUACGGGAGGCAGCAGUGAGGAAUAUUGGUCAAUGGGCGGGAGCCUGAACCAGCCAAGUCGCGUGAGGGAUGACGGCCCUAUGGGUUGUAAACCUCUUUUGCCGGGGAGCAAAGUGCCGCACGUGUGCGGUUUGGAGAGUACCCGGAGAAAAAGCAUCGGCUAACUCCGUGCCAGCAGCCGCGGUAAUACGGAGGAUGCGAGCGUUAUCCGGAUUUAUUGGGUUUAAAGGGUGCGUAGGCGGACGCUUAAGUCAGCGGUAAAAUUGCGGGGCUCAACCUCGUCGAGCCGUUGAAACUGGGUGCCUUGAGUGGGCGAGAAGUACGCGGAAUGCGUGGUGUAGCGGUGAAAUGCAUAGAUAUCACGCAGAACUCCGAUUGCGAAGGCAGCGUACCGGCGCCCAACUGACGCUGAAGCACGAAGGCGUGGGUAUCGAACAGGAUUAGAUACCCUGGUAGUCCACGCAGUAAACGAUGAGUGCUAGUUGUCCGGGGCGAUUGAGUUCUGG